RNAcentral lists this ribosomal RNA (249 nucleotides) under uncultured bacterium. RNAcentral describes it as "partial 16S ribosomal RNA". It matches the Rfam family "Bacterial small subunit ribosomal RNA", at positions 8 to 263 of the family's 1533-position model. The record is from RNAcentral.
AGAGUUUGAUCCUGGCUCAGGACGAACGCUGGCGGCGUGCCUAACACAUGCAAGUCGAACGGGGCAUAGAGAUAUGCCUAGUGGCGGACGGGUGAGUAACACGUGAGCAAUCGUAUCCUAUACAACGGGAUAACACAGAGAAAUUUGUGCUAAUACGGUAUAAGACCACAUUCCGGCAUCGGAGAGGGGUAAAAGCUGAGGCGGUAUAGGAGGAGCUCGCGGCCCAUUAGCUAGUUGGAGAGGUAACGG